GAAAUGCGAUAAGUAAUGUGAAUUGCAGAAUUCAGUGAAUCAUCGAAUCUUUGAACGCACAUUGCGCCCGCCAGUAUUCUGGCGGGCAUGCCUGUUCGAGCGUCAUUUCAACCCUCAAGCCCCAGCGGUUUGGUGUUGGGGACCGGCGAGUACAGAGGCUUUUGGGGACUUGUCCCCCUUCCCUCGGCGCCGCCCCCGAAAUGAAUUGGCGGUCUCGUCGCGGCCUCCUCUGCGUAGUAGCACAACCUCGCAUCAGGAGCGCGGCGCGGCCACUGCCGUAAAACGCCCAACUUUUUUUAAGAGUUGACCUCGAAUCAGGUAGGAAUACCCGCUGAACUUAA
This 341-nucleotide unclassified non-coding RNA is filed under the name uncultured Clavicipitaceae. Its description in RNAcentral is "sequence contains ITS1". The stretch from base 1 to 105 matches the Rfam family "5.8S ribosomal RNA", at positions 50 to 154 of the family's 154-position model. The record is from RNAcentral. Lineage: Eukaryota; Fungi; Ascomycota; Sordariomycetes; Hypocreales; Clavicipitaceae.